This 421-nucleotide ribosomal RNA is filed under the name uncultured bacterium. RNAcentral describes it as "bacterial SSU rRNA". It matches the Rfam family "Bacterial small subunit ribosomal RNA", at positions 355 to 774 of the family's 1533-position model. The record is from RNAcentral.
UAAGGAAUAUUGGUCAAUGGACGCAAGUCUGAACCAGCCAUGCCGCGUGAAGGAUGAAGGUCCUCUGGAUUGUAAACUUCUUUUAUCUGGGACGAAAACGGGAUUUUUAUCUCAAUUGACGGUACCAGAGGAAUAAGCACCGGCUAACUCCGUGCCAGCAGCCGCGGUAAUACGGAGGGUGCGAGCGUUAUCCGGAUUUACUGGGUUUAAAGGGUGCGUAGGUGGGCUUAUAAGUCAGUGGUGAAAUCUCCGAGCUUAACUUGGAAACUGCCGUUGAUACUAUAGGUCUUGAAUUAUCUGGAGGUGAGCGAAAUAUGUCAUGUUGCGGUGAAAUGCUUAGAUAUGACAUAGAACACCAAUUGCGAAGGCAGCUUACUACAUAUAAAUUGACGCUGAGGCACGAAAGCGUGGGGAUCAAACA